GUAGAAGACUGAAAACAACUAUGGGGAAAAUUCUUCCCAUGAUUGUAAUGAAAUUUAUGAGACAAUGAUAUUAAAUUCUUUAAAUCAAUUGUAACGUGAUCAAAUAGCAGUAGUAACAGGCUUCAGACCAUGGCUUGAGUUUUAAGGUUAAGCUUCUUUCCAGAAAGCAAAAAUAAUUGCAUCUUUCUGUGCAAUGACUGACUUGGGUGACAGAUCUCUGCCUGCAACUUCUCUGCCCAGUUGUCAGGUUUGGUCCCUCCUGGCGUACCGGAGAUCCGUGAAGCAGCGGCCGUUUGCUCCUCGAAUUCUUUAACAGGAAUUUGGUUUCGGCAUCCGACUUCACUGCGCGAACAGAAGUGGUGGAGGGAAGGCACACCGUAAACCACCGCUUUCUUCUGUGACUCAAGACGAACAUGGGAAGGGGUGCAGCUGGAGACAGAGUCUCUAAGGAGGCUAUCUCUAACAAGGGCAAUGGGAGACAGUUCGGACUGGGAAGCUGCAGAGUGCUGUGCUGCCUGGUGUUUGACUUGCUGCUGCUGUUUCCCCCAGGCUGCCCUCUUGCUUCGUUUUCAUCAGGCUGUGGUGUCCUUGGUCCGAGCGCUCCUCUCCCGUGUAGGAGGUGAACCACAGUGUACUGAGACCACAGUGAAUUGAGCAAUGGCAUGAACAAAGCAAACUGUGGGAUGAAUGUCACCAGAUGUGUAAUGGUUAAAACUGGUUCAGAUUAAAAUAUCAGCUUCAGGA
Long non-coding RNA from Cygnus atratus (black swan), 744 nucleotides. RefSeq lists it as uncharacterized. The transcript has 3 exons. The record is from RefSeq and is a predicted model, not a curated record. Lineage: Eukaryota; Metazoa; Chordata; Aves; Anseriformes; Anatidae.